AGUAAAAUCAGCUAAAUAAGCUAAUGGGCCCAUACCCCAUAAAUGUCGGUUAAUUACCUUCUUUUACUA
Molecule: transfer RNA, 69 nt
Filed under: Ophthalmolebias bokermanni
Lineage: Eukaryota; Metazoa; Chordata; Actinopteri; Cyprinodontiformes; Rivulidae
Description: tRNA-Met
Source: RNAcentral